UGCAGGCUGCAACCCGCCUGCACGAAGCCGGAGUUGCUAGUAAUCGCGAAUCAGAAUGUCGCGGUGAAUGCGUUCCCGGGUCUUGUACACACCGCCCGUCACACCAUGGAAGUUGGGGGUGCCCAAAGCCGGCAAGCAAAUACGCUGUCUAAGGCAAAACCAAUGACUGGGGUGAAGUCGUAACAAGGUACC
This 192-nucleotide ribosomal RNA is filed under the name uncultured bacterium. RNAcentral describes it as "partial 16S ribosomal RNA". It matches the Rfam family "Bacterial small subunit ribosomal RNA", at positions 1299 to 1500 of the family's 1533-position model. The record is from RNAcentral.